UGACCUCGAAUCAGGUAGGGAUACCCGCUGAACUUAAGCAUAUCAAUAAGCGGAGGAAAAGAAACCAACAGGGAUUACCUCAGUAACGGCGAGUGAAGCGGUAACAGCUCAAAUUUGAAAUCUGGUCCGGUUACGGGCCCGAGUUGUAAUUUGUAGAAGAUGCUUUGGUAAUGAGUCCGGCCUAAGUUCCUUGGAACAGGACGUCAUAGAGGGUGAGAACCCCGUAUGCGGCCGAGUACUCAGUGCCAUGUAAAGCUCUUUCGACGAGUCGAGUUGUUUGGGAAUGCAGCUCAA
RNAcentral lists this non-coding RNA (294 nucleotides) under Blumeria hordei DH14. RNAcentral describes it as "Blumeria graminis f. sp. hordei DH14 Eukaryotic large subunit ribosomal RNA". It matches the Rfam family "Eukaryotic large subunit ribosomal RNA", at positions 1 to 290 of the family's 3401-position model. The record is from Rfam by way of RNAcentral. Lineage: Eukaryota; Fungi; Ascomycota; Leotiomycetes; Helotiales; Erysiphaceae.